GAUGAACGCUGGCGGCGUGCCUAAUACAUGCAAGUCGAGCGAACAGACGAGGAGCUUGCUCCUCUGACGUUAUCGGCGGACGGGUGAGUAACACGUGGAUAACCUACCUAUAAGACUGGGAUAACUUCGGGAAACCGGAGCUAAUACCGGAUAAUAUAUUGAACCUCAUGGUUCAAUAGUGAAAGACGGUUUUGCUGUCACUUAUAGAUUGAUCCGCGCCUCAUUAGCUAGUUGGUAAGGUAACGGCUUACCAAGGCAACGAUGCGUAAACGACCCGAAGGGGUGAUUGGCCAGACUGGAACUGAGACACGGCCCAGACUCCUACAGGGAGACACAGUAGGGAAUCUUACGCGAUGGGCGAAUGGCUGACAGAGCAAAGCGGCGUGAGUGAUGAAGGUGUUCGGAUCGGAGAACUCUGUUAGUAGUGGAGUACUAAUGUGUAAGUAACUAUGCACGUCUUGACGGUACCUAAUCAGAAAGCCACGGCUAACUACGUG
Molecule: ribosomal RNA, 497 nt
Filed under: uncultured bacterium
Lineage: Bacteria
Description: partial 16S ribosomal RNA
Rfam family: Bacterial small subunit ribosomal RNA
Source: RNAcentral